This 537-nucleotide ribosomal RNA is filed under the name uncultured bacterium. RNAcentral describes it as "bacterial SSU rRNA". It matches the Rfam family "Bacterial small subunit ribosomal RNA", at positions 777 to 1315 of the family's 1533-position model. The record is from RNAcentral.
AAUAGAUACCCGGGUAGUCCACGCCGUAAACGAUGUCGACUUGGAGGUUGUCCCCUUGAGGAGUGGCUUCCGGAGCUAACGCGUUAAGUCGACCGCCUGGGGAGUACGGCCGCAAGGUUAAAACUCAAAUGAAUUGACGGGGGCCCGCACAAGCGGUGGAGCAUGUGGUUUAAUUCGAUGCAACGCGAAGAACCUUACCUACUCUUGACAUCCAGAGAACUUAGCAGAGAUGCUUUGGUGCCUUCGGGAACUCUGAGACAGGUGCUGCAUGGCUGUCGUCAGCUCGUGUUGUGAAAUGUUGGGUUAAGUCCCGCAACGAGCGCAACCCUUAUCCUUUGUUGCCAGCGGUUCGGCCGGGAACUCAAAGGAGACUGCCAGUGAUAAACUGGAGGAAGUGGGGAUGACGUCAAGUCAUCAUGGCCCUUACGAGUAGGGCUACACACGUGCUACAAUGGCGUAUACAAAGAGAAGCGACCUCGCGAGAGCAAGCGGACCUCAUAAAGUACGUCGUAGUCCGGAUUGGAGUCUGCAACUCGA